Molecule: long non-coding RNA, 915 nt
Organism: Salvia miltiorrhiza (redroot sage)
Lineage: Eukaryota; Viridiplantae; Streptophyta; Magnoliopsida; Lamiales; Lamiaceae
Exons: 3
Source: RefSeq, a predicted model, not a curated record
ACUUAUUUUAAAUAUGGGGCGGUUACAAAAAAAAAAAAAAGGCAAUUAUCAAGAACCGUUCAAUCUUCUAUAUCUAAGGAUAGAUAUUAAUUCUCCAUCCUCUAAAAUUAGGGUUCAGCGCCGCUUCUUCUUCACUAUCAUUGCUUCUCCCAGUCCUUCCACUUUCUUCCACCUUUCACCGCCGCCGGCGAGAAGCUCAUCCGUGCUCUCCCUUGUCUUCUCUCUCCCUCUGCCUCAGCCUCUGCCGACUUUCUUCCACCUUUCGCCGCUGCCGGCGAGAAGCUCAAACGUGCUCUCUAUCGUCUUCUCUCUCCCUCUGCCGGAGAAAAACCUGCAACCGUAUCACGGCAAAGCCGCGGUCCAAAACCCUUUGAUCCCUAAACUACCAACUCCGGCCUCACAUCUAGACGACGCUCCACGCGGUGUCGCCUCUCUCCUCGACGACGAUAAAUGAGCCGCUGCCUCCCUCUGCUAAGCCCGUAUCCAGCCGCCGCCGUCCGAGUUUCAAACUACGGCGUCGCCCAGCCCUCUGCUAAGCCUGUAUCCAGCCGCCGCCGUCCGAGUUUCAAACUACGGCGUCGCCCAGCCCUAGCCUCCAGAUCUCGGCCUCCUCCCUCGACUGUAUACAGUGCUGCUUGUAUGAAUAUGCUUUCUCUGCAAAGCCUUUGGGUGAAGUCAAAUCCACUAUCACUGAUGGUCUCAAUCAAGCACUCAUUCUCUUGAUAAAGAUCUCAGUGGUACAGAAAGAUUCAGUCUUAAUCUUCUGCGGUCUUGAUCUGCUGCAAAAAUUCAGAAAUAUUAGCUACAUUUUUAGACUUUGUAUGUAAAGUAGAAAAAAGUGUAUAAAUUUGUAUCUUAGUUGUAAUUGAAACUAAUAAUAAACAGCAAAAAAUCUAAACAGAAUAAAAAGAAAAA